This 214-nucleotide long non-coding RNA is filed under the name Mytilus galloprovincialis (Mediterranean mussel). The record is from RNAcentral. Lineage: Eukaryota; Metazoa; Mollusca; Bivalvia; Mytilida; Mytilidae.
UGGAAAAUAGGUGAUAAGGUAUGAAGUGAAAUACCUUCUCUCACUCUCAGUGACUGCUGUGGAAAGUAAACUUGGAAUUGAUAGCACAAAAUACAUUGUUCAUACACUUGUAUCGAGGAUUGGCUAUUUUUAAAGUUGAAUAACUAUUCAGAUUACGUAAAUUACAUUUUACGAGCAUUUUACACGUGCAGUUGAAUUAUUUUUGAAAAUAAUA